GUCGACGGCCGCCGGAUCGUCGACAUCCUCACCGAGCAGGGCAUCGUGCCCGGGAUCAAGGUCGACAAGGGCCUCGUCCCGCUCGCCGGCUCCAACGACGAGUCCUGGUGCCAGGGCCUCGACGGCCUCGCCGCCCGCGAGGCCGCCUACUACCAGCAGGGCGCCCGAUUCGCCAAGUGGCGCACCGUCGUCAGCAUCCCCAACGGGCCAUCCGAGCUCGCCGUCAAGGAGGCCGCAUGGGGGCUCGCCCGCUACGCCGCCAUCUCGCAGGUACGCCUUCUUGCUUGCUUCUAGCCAUGGAGAUAGUUCAUCCAGCUAAUUAAUAAAAGCUAACACCGAUGGAAUGGAAUCGACCGAGCAGGACAACGGACUUGUGCCGAUCGUAGAGCCGGAGAUCCUGCUGGACGGCGAGCACGGCAUCGAGCGGACCUUCGAGGUGGCGCAGAAGGUGUGGGCCGAGACCUUCUACGCCAUGGCGGAGAACAACGUCAUGUUCGAGGGCAUCCUGCUCAAGCCAUCCAUGGUGACGCCGGGCGCCGAGGCUAAGGACCGGGCCACGCCGGAGCAGGUCGCCGAGUACACCCUGAAGCUCCUCCACCGCCGCAUCCCGCCCUCCGUCCCCGGCAUCAUGUUCCUCUCCGGCGGGCAGUCGGAGGUGGAGGCGACGCAGAACCUCAACGCCAUGAACCAGGGGCCCAACCCGUGGCACGUGUCCUUCUCCUACGCGCGGGCGCUGCAGAACACCUGCCUCAAGACGUGGGGCGGCGUGCCGGAGAACGUCAAGGCGGCGCAGGACGCGCUGCUGCUGCGCGCCAAGGCCAACUCGCUGGCGCAGCUCGGCAAGUACACCUCCGACGGCGAGGCCGCCGAGGCCAAGGAGGGCAUGUUCGUCAAGAACUACAGCUACUAAUUCAUCGGCUAGCAACUCCGACGAUACAUACUGGUUACGCAAGCUAAGCACGUCUUCGCCGUGAUGAUCCAUGCAUGGUGCUCAUCGAUGCUUUGUGCGUGCCGUUAGUUACUACUGCUAGCUACU
RNAcentral lists this long non-coding RNA (1036 nucleotides) under Setaria viridis. Its description in RNAcentral is "long non-coding RNA (SVIR_LNC008547)". The record is from RNAcentral. Lineage: Eukaryota; Viridiplantae; Streptophyta; Magnoliopsida; Poales; Poaceae.